UACCUCGGCUCCAUACAGGCAUCACUGAUUACCCACGUGGCUAAUUUCAGUCUCCAGUACUUGAAGUCCCAGCCUUGAGUAACCUUGGUAACGUGGCUCAAAGCCACAGUGAGAAAGCCCUAAAUCACAUUGUUACUAUCUGGCUGGCCCAAGGCCCCCAGGCAAACAGACACUCUUGUCAGUCAUGACAUUCCAAGGACCUAGAGAUUACCUCCCAGAAACCAAGAGCAAAGGCCAGACCAGUCUUUAAGUAAGGUUAAUUCCUUGCUUCACAAACAGACACCUCUGACAGUGAAUAUUCUGCCUCCAUAAUGACAGUCUGUGAUAAGAAGGAAUUAAGUCAAAGAUAAGCAGAGGUAAAAGAUGAGACAAGAGAGCAAUAAGGUUAUAAUCUGAGUUCCCAAACCAGCCACACCUGAAGCCAGCUGCCUCCUAGCUUCCUCAUUUGCAUGCACUACCAUAUUGCCUUUUUCGCUAAAGUUUGAUUGAGUUUAUAUUUGCCCUUCAAGUUAGAGAAGUUCUCAGGUAGGAGAGAGCAUUUUCAUUUCAAAGAUUUGAAAGAAAGGCUGGUGCUGUGGCUCACACCUGUAAUCCCAGCACUUUGGGAGGCCGAGGUGGGUGGAUCACCUGAGGUCAGGAAUUCAAGACCAGCCUGGCCAACAUGGUAAAACCCUGUCUCUACUAAACACACACACACACACACACACACAUACACACACACAAAAGCAGGACAUGGUGGCACGCACCUGUAAUCCCAGCUACUCAGGAGGCUGAGUCAGGAGAAUCCCUUGAACCUGGAAGGCAGAGGUUGCAGUGAGCCAAGAUUGUGCCACUGCACUCCAGCCUGGACAACAGAGCAACACUCCAUCUGAAAAAAUUAAAAUAAAAUUUUCUAGCAGCUAAAUUUAAAAUAGUUAAAAGAAAUAGGUGAAACAAACAUUAAUGAUUUGUUAUAUUUAACUUACUAUAUCAAAAGUAUUAUUUCAGCAUAGAAAGAAUAUAAAAAUUAAUAAGGCAUUUUACAUUCUUCAUAUAGUCUUUGAAAUUCAGU
RNAcentral lists this long non-coding RNA (1051 nucleotides) under Callithrix jacchus (white-tufted-ear marmoset). Its description in RNAcentral is "lncRNA (ENSCJAG00000082866.1)". The record is from RNAcentral. Lineage: Eukaryota; Metazoa; Chordata; Mammalia; Primates; Cebidae.